Molecule: ribosomal RNA, 270 nt
Filed under: uncultured archaeon
Lineage: Archaea
Description: partial 16S ribosomal RNA
Rfam family: Archaeal small subunit ribosomal RNA
Source: RNAcentral
CAGCACCUCAAGUGGUCAGGAUGAUUAUUGGGCCUAAAGCAUCCGUAGCCGGCGCUGUAAGUUUUCGGUUAAAUCUGUACGCUCAACGUACAGGCUGCCGGGAAUACUGCAGCGCUAGGGAGUGGGAGAGGUAGACGGUACUCGGUAGGAAGGGGUAAAAUCCUUUGAUCUAUUGAUGACCACCUGAGGCGAAGGCGGUCUACCAGAACACGUCCGACGGUGAGGGAUGAAAGCUGGGGGAGCAAACCGGAUUAGAUACCCGAGUAGUCC